Molecule: ribosomal RNA, 503 nt
Filed under: uncultured bacterium
Lineage: Bacteria
Description: partial 16S ribosomal RNA
Rfam family: Bacterial small subunit ribosomal RNA
Source: RNAcentral
AUUGAACGCUGGCGGCAGGCUUAACACAUGCAAGUCGAGCGGGGUGAUGGUGCUUGCACUAUCACUUAGCGGCGGACGGGUGAGUAAUGCUUAGGAAUCUGCCUAUUAGUGGGGGACAACAUCUCGAAAGGGAUGCUAAUACCGCAUACGUCCUACGGUAGAAAGCAGGGGAUCACUUGUGACCUUGCGCUAAUAGAUGAGCCUAAGUCGGAUUAGCUAGUUGGUGGGGUAAAGGCCUACCAAGGCGACGAUCUGUAGCGGGUCAGAGAGGAUGAUCCGCCACACUGGGACUGGGACACGGCCCAGACUCCUACGGGAGGGAGCAGUGGGGAAUAUUGGACAAUGGGGGGAACCCUGAUCCAGCCAUGCCGCGUGUGUGAAGAAGGCCUUAUGGUUGUAAAGCACUUUAAGCGAGGAGGAGGCUCUUUUGGUUAAUACCCAAGAUGAGUGGACGUUACUCGCAGAAUAAGCACCGGCUAACUCUGUGCCAGCCGCCGCCGUAA